Molecule: ribosomal RNA, 440 nt
Filed under: uncultured bacterium
Lineage: Bacteria
Description: partial 16S ribosomal RNA
Rfam family: Bacterial small subunit ribosomal RNA
Source: RNAcentral
CCUACGGGUGGCAGCAGUAGGGAAUAUUGCUCAAUGGGGGAAACCCUGAAGCAGCAACGCCGCGUGGAGGAUGAAGGUUUUCGGAUUGUAAACUCCUUUUGUUAGGGAAGAUAAUGACGGUAUCUAACGAAUAAGCACCGGCUAACUCCGUGCCAGCAGCCGCGGUAAUACGGAGGGUGCAAGCGUUACUCGGAAUCAAUGGGCGUAAAGAGCGCGUUGGCGGGAAAGCAAGUCAGAUGUGAAAUCCUAUGGCUUAACCAUAGCACUGCAUUUGAAACUGUUAUUCUAGAGUAUGGGAGAGGUAGGUGGAAUGCGUGGUGUAGGGGUGAAAUGCGUAGAGAUCAAGAGGAACACUGAUUGCGAAGGCGACCUGCUAGAACAUAACUGACGCUGAUGCGCGAAAGCGUGGGGAGCAAACAGGAUUAGAUACCCGUGUAGUC